RNAcentral lists this ribosomal RNA (590 nucleotides) under Clonostachys sp. 6. RNAcentral describes it as "eukaryotic LSU rRNA". The stretch from base 189 to 342 matches the Rfam family "5.8S ribosomal RNA". Lineage: Eukaryota; Fungi; Ascomycota; Sordariomycetes; Hypocreales; Bionectriaceae. The record is from RNAcentral.
UUCCGUAGGUGAACCUGCGGAGGGAUCAUUACCGAGUUUACAACUCCCAAACCCAUGUGAACAUACCUACUGUUGCUUCGGCGGGAUUGCCCCGGGCGCCUCGYGUGCCCCGGAUCAGGCGCCCGCCUAGGAAACUUAACUCUUGUUUUAUUUUGGAAUCUUCUGAGUWGUUUUUACAAAUAAAUAAAAACUUUCAACAACGGAUCUCUUGGUUCUGGCAUCKAUGAAGAACGCAGCGAAAUGCGAUAAGUAAUGUGAAUUGCAGAAUUCAGUGAAUCAUCSAAUCUUUGAACGCACAUUGCGCCCGCCAGUAUUCUGGCGGGCAUGCCUGUCUGAGCGUCAUUUCAACCCUCAUGCCCCUAGGGCGUGGUGUUGGGGAUCGGCCAAAGCCCGCGAGGGACGGCCGGCCCCUAAAUCUAGUGGCGGACCCGUCGUGGCCUCCUCUGCGAAGUAGUGAUAUUCCGCAWMGGAGAGCGACGAGCCCCUGCCGUUAAACCCCCAACUUUCCAAGGUUGACCUCAGAUCAGGUAGGAAUACCCGCUGAACUUAAGCAUAUCAAUAAGCGGAGGAAUUAUAUAAUUUUCAACCCC